Molecule: ribosomal RNA, 775 nt
Filed under: uncultured Neocallimastigales
Lineage: Eukaryota; Fungi; Neocallimastigomycota; Neocallimastigomycetes; Neocallimastigales
Description: partial large subunit ribosomal RNA
Rfam family: Eukaryotic large subunit ribosomal RNA
Source: RNAcentral
AGAGAGAGACAUGCGCGCAUAUCAAUAAGCGGAGGAAAAGAAACUAACAAGGAUUCCCUUAGUAACGGCGAGUGAAGCGGGAAGAGCUCAAAUUUGAAAUCUUCAAGGUUUUACCUUGACGAAUUGUAGUUUAAAGAAGUGUUUUCUGCUGAAGUUUUGGUAAAAGUUCUUUGGAAUAGGACAUCAUAGAGGGUGAGAAUCCCGUAUUUGACCAUUAUUUUCAGCUUUGUGAUACACUUUCAAAGAGUCGGAUUGUUUGGGAAUGCAGUCCAAAAUGGGUGGUAAAUUUCAUCUAAAGCUAAAUAUUGGCGAGAGACCGAUAGCGAACAAGUACCGUGAGGGAAAGAUGAAAAGAACUUUGAAAAGAGAGUUAAACAGUACGUGAAAUUGUCAAAAGGGAAGCGUUUGACACCAGUGUUGUUUUCUCGAAAAUCAAUUAAAAAUGGCUCGAUUUUGUAUUGCUUGAGACCUUAAAAGCUCACUGUACAUUUUUCGUGUCUUUUAUAAUGCACUUUUCGUUUAACAAGUCAACAUCAGUUUCUUUUGUUGUAAAAGGGUCAUUGGAAGGUGGCUUCCUUUUCGGAGAAAGUGUUUAUAGCCUUUGGCCUCUGCAAUCGAAGAGACUGAGGUCUGCAGCGUAGACUCUUCGGGGUUAGAUACAUUUGUGCUAAGUUAUAGCCUUUCAUAGACAACUUGUUGACUAUGAUCAGUCAUGUAGCUUACUCGCUUAUGCUAUUUUACCUACGCUUAGGAUGUUGAAGUCAUCGUAUCGCGC